CAGGCGUCGAGCGGCGGACGGGUGAGUAAUGCAUAGGAAUCUGCCCAGUAGUGGGGGAUAGCCCGGGGAAACCCGGAUUAAUACCGCAUACGCCCUUUGGGGGAAAGCAGGGGAUCUUCGGACCUUGCGCUAUUGGAUGAGCCUAUGUCGGAUUAGCUUGUUGGUGGGGUAACGGCUCACCAAGGCAACGAUCCGUAGCUGGUCUGAGAGGAUGAUCAGCCACAUCGGGACUGAGACACGGCCCGAACUCCUACGGGAGGCAGCAGUGGGGAAUAUUGGACAAUGGGGGCAACCCUGAUCCAGCCAUGCCGCGUGUGUGAAGAAGGCUUUCGGGUUGUAAAGCACUUUCAGUGAGGAGGAAAACCUUACGACUAAUACUCGUGAGGCUUGACGUUACUCACAGAAGAAGCACCGGCUAACUCCGUGCCAGCAGCCGCGGUAAUACGGAGGGUGCAAGCGUUAAUCGGAAUUACUGGGCGUAAAGCGCGCGUAGGUGGUUUGAUAAGCGAGAUGUGAAAGCCCCGGGCUUAACCUGGGAACGGCAUUUCGAACUGUCAGGCUAGAGUGUGGUAGAGGGUAGUGGAAUUUCCUGUGUAGCG
RNAcentral lists this ribosomal RNA (599 nucleotides) under Marinobacter bryozoorum. RNAcentral describes it as "bacterial SSU rRNA". It matches the Rfam family "Bacterial small subunit ribosomal RNA", at positions 85 to 680 of the family's 1533-position model. The record is from RNAcentral. Lineage: Bacteria; Pseudomonadati; Pseudomonadota; Gammaproteobacteria; Pseudomonadales; Marinobacteraceae.